CUCAUGUAUCGACAGCAGUAAUUAUUUUACUACUAGCCCAAGUUCUUUAAGGACUCGAUGUCAACUUCAUCUGGAGGUUGGCAGCAUCUUGUUUGAAUUGCAAUAUUGAGAGGACAAUUGGUGGUCUGCAGGAGUUUGAUGCAUCUAGGAAUACUUUUGCUGUUAUUCUGGUGGUUCAGUUCAAUGCUGCAUAACCGGUUGAUAGAAACAUUUCAAAUUAUUUGUCACUUUUUAAUUCCUUAG
RNAcentral lists this long non-coding RNA (243 nucleotides) under Rosa chinensis. Its description in RNAcentral is "sRNA RchiOBHm_Chr7g0233841". Lineage: Eukaryota; Viridiplantae; Streptophyta; Magnoliopsida; Rosales; Rosaceae. The record is from RNAcentral.